CUCUGAGGAUGAUUAUUGAGUGAAUUCAGGC
RNAcentral lists this non-coding RNA (31 nucleotides) under Rattus norvegicus (Norway rat). Lineage: Eukaryota; Metazoa; Chordata; Mammalia; Rodentia; Muridae. The record is from RNAcentral.